Non-coding RNA from Triticum aestivum (bread wheat), 135 nucleotides. NCBI's taxonomy places the organism in Eukaryota, Viridiplantae, Streptophyta, Magnoliopsida, Poales, Poaceae. The record is from Rfam.
AUAGUACUCCCUCCGUCCCAAAAUUCUUGUCGUAGAUUUGUCAAGAUACGGAUGUAUCUAACACUAAAACUUAACUAGAUACAUCCGUGUUUAGAAAAAUUUAAGACAAGAAUUUUGGGACGGGGGGAGUAGUUA